AUAAUUUAAUCUUUCACGAUAUUCAUAAAUGUAUGUAACCGUUAGGGGAAGCUGAUUUUAGAUUCAUGGUACAAACAUACUUCAUCAAAAUCAACCUGUUGUAUAUAGAAGUCUAACUGCAGGUUUUGAUAAAGAUAUAAAGGUGAAGCUGUGAUGUAACCAUGGAUGUAUCAAAGAUGAAAGUUGAACCCUUUUCUGAAAAUGAGCAGGAUGAUUUGUUGGAUAUGAAAUUGACGAAAAAUGAAGAUGAAACUCCUACGUUAUCUAGUAUAGAAGGUGAUUCCUUACAACAAAGAUCUUUACAUACCAUUUUGAAGUUUGGUGUAGUGAAAGAGGAACAAGAAGAGAACU
This is a long non-coding RNA of Limulus polyphemus (Atlantic horseshoe crab), 351 nucleotides long. RefSeq lists it as uncharacterized. The record is from RefSeq and is a predicted model, not a curated record. The transcript has 3 exons. NCBI's taxonomy places the organism in Eukaryota, Metazoa, Arthropoda, Merostomata, Xiphosura, Limulidae.